This 465-nucleotide ribosomal RNA is filed under the name uncultured bacterium. RNAcentral describes it as "partial 16S ribosomal RNA". It matches the Rfam family "Bacterial small subunit ribosomal RNA", at positions 28 to 507 of the family's 1533-position model. The record is from RNAcentral.
GACGAACGCUGGCGGCGUGCUUAACACAUGCAAGUCGAACGGAAAGGCCCUGCUUGCUGGGUACUCGAGUGGCGAACGGGUGAGUAACACGUGGGUGAUCUGCCCUGCACUUCGGGAUAAGCCUGGGAAACUGGGUCUAAUACCGGAUAGGAGCCAUUUUUAGUGUGAUGGUUGGAAAGUUUUUUCGGUGUAGGAUGAGCUCGCGGCCUAUCAGCUUGUUGGUGGGGUAAUGGCCUACCAAGGCGGCGACGGGUAGCCGGCCUGAGAGGGUGGACGGCCACAGUGGGACUGGGAUACGGCCCAGACUCCGACGGGAGGCAGCAGUGGGGAAGAUUGCACAAGGGGCGCAAGCCUGAUGCAGCGACGCCGCGGGGGGGAGGACGGCCUUCGGGUUGUAAACUCCUUUCGCUAGGGACGAAGCUUUUUGUGACGGUACCUAGAUAAGAAGCACCGGCUAACUACGUG